GAUGAACGCUGGCGGCGUGCCUAAUACAUGCAAGUCGAGCGAACAGACGAGGAGCUUGCUCCUCUGACGUUAGCGGCGGACGGGUGAGAAACACGUGGAUAACCUACCUAUAAGACUGGGAUAACUUCGGGAAACCGGAGCUAAUACCGGAGAAUAUAUUGAACCGCAUGGUUCAAUAGUGAAAGACGGUUUUGCUGUCACUAAUAGAUGGUUCCGGGCGGCAUUAGAUAGUUGGUAAGGUAACGGGCUACGAAGGCAAGGAUGCGUAGCCGACCGGAGAGGGUGAUCGGCGACACUGGAACUGGGACACGGUCCAGACUCCUACGGGAGGCAGCAGUAGGGAAUGUGCCGCAAUGGGCGAAAGCCUGACGGAGCAAGGCGGCGUGAGUGAUGAAGGUCUUCGGAUCGUAAAACUCUGUUAUUGGGGAAGAACAGAUGUGUAAGUAACUGUGCACGUCUUGACGGUACCUAAUCAGAAAGCCACGGCUAACUACGUG
RNAcentral lists this ribosomal RNA (497 nucleotides) under uncultured bacterium. Its description in RNAcentral is "partial 16S ribosomal RNA". It matches the Rfam family "Bacterial small subunit ribosomal RNA", at positions 28 to 507 of the family's 1533-position model. The record is from RNAcentral.